This 777-nucleotide long non-coding RNA is filed under the name Nicotiana tabacum (common tobacco). RNAcentral's name for it is "long non-coding RNA (NTAB_LNC006538)". The record is from RNAcentral. Lineage: Eukaryota; Viridiplantae; Streptophyta; Magnoliopsida; Solanales; Solanaceae.
UACGCCUAAGACCGAUGCUAAGCAAAUCCGCCGUUUGCCAAAAAUUAGACCCCUCCACCAUACUGCUUCGUCUUCAACCCAACGUCCACACCCCUCCCUCACCUCUCAUACACCAGCUGACCCCAUCUUCUUCGGCUGAGAACCUAGAGAACACAGCCUUAGAGCAGAAGACCCCUUGAACCCCUUCUGUCCGUUUUUGAGUUCGUCGCCGAUCGAGAUUGUUCGACGUCGAUUCCGAUUCGAGCCCCGCUACUGCUCGAGGUUAAGGUCUGAGUUUCCGCUCAAGGCCAUCGAGGUCCGGACUGUUGAGCUCGUCAAUCAUAGCUUUGGCUUGGAGUACUUGUUCUGGACACUUAAUCAACAACGGUAAGUAAUUAAAAUACCUCGUAGUACUUAGCUAAAAAACACACAUUCAUGUUCUUAGUAAAGGAAAGUAACGGUUUUGUCCAAUCUUUUCUGCAGCUAAUGUCGACCAUUUUCGUCAUUCUUUAUCUGGUGAUAUUUUUGGGACGGAGGAAGUAAUAUACAAGGAAAGAGCUUGCUUAUCUGAGUUUUAGUGUUUCAUUUCCUUUCAUGUUUCAAGACUUCCUAUAAGUUAUUCUUAGUAUAUUUGCUGAGCUGAUAAUUUUAUAGUUUCUGUCUGUUUAAGCUUUCAAAUGCACGCAUGAUUAGUUUACAUAAAGCUUAUGGAAUCUUGUUUAAAUUGUUGAAUAUUGCCUUGGAUUUGUAUGCUAAAAAUUAUAAUUUACGGGAGAUUUUUCCAUGCCAUUUUGCUUA